RNAcentral lists this ribosomal RNA (661 nucleotides) under Salmonella enterica. Its description in RNAcentral is "partial 23S ribosomal RNA". It matches the Rfam family "Bacterial large subunit ribosomal RNA", at positions 1 to 677 of the family's 2925-position model. The record is from RNAcentral. Lineage: Bacteria; Pseudomonadati; Pseudomonadota; Gammaproteobacteria; Enterobacterales; Enterobacteriaceae.
GGGUUGUGAGGUUAAGCGACUAAGCGUACACGGUGGAUGCCCUGGCAGUCAGAGGCGAUGAAGGACGUGCUAAUCUGCGAUAAGCGCCGGUAAGGUGAUAUGAACCGUUAUAACCGGCGAUUUCCGAAUGGGGAAACCCAGUGUGACUCGUCACACUAUCAUUAACUGAAUCCAUAGGUUAAUGAGGCGAACCGGGGGAACUGAAACAUCUAAGUACCCCGAGGAAAAGAAAUCAACCGAGAUUCCCCCAGUAGCGGCGAGCGAACGGGGAUGAGCCCAGAGCCUGAAUCAGCAUGUGUGUUAGUGGAAGCGUCUGGAAAGGCGCGCGAUACAGGGUGACAGCCCCGUACACAAAAGCGCAUAUGCUGUGAGCUCGAUGAGUAGGGCGGGACACGUGGUAUCCUGUCUGAAUAUGGGGGGACCAUCCUCCAAGGCUAAAUACUCCUGACUGACCGAUAGUGAACCAGUACCGUGAGGGAAAGGCGAAAAGAACCCCGGCGAGGGGAGUGAAAAAGAACCUGAAACCGUGUACGUACAAGCAGUGGGAGCCCCACCACUAAGCCAGUGGUGAACUCCACAUACGCAUCCUUUGCUGAGGAUACGGUUAACGGAGCGAAAGCGACGUUCAACCGCAAAAGAAGCAGAGGGGGCUUAGUGGUGG